RNAcentral lists this long non-coding RNA (5041 nucleotides) under Chinchilla lanigera (long-tailed chinchilla). RNAcentral's name for it is "lncRNA (ENSCLAG00000024019.1)". Lineage: Eukaryota; Metazoa; Chordata; Mammalia; Rodentia; Chinchillidae. The record is from RNAcentral.
UCCACCUGGAACAGAGAGAAGUCCGUCAGGGGACCUUGCUGCGGAACUUGAGACCGGGAGUGCCGCUGCUGGUUCCCAUGACAAACUGGAGUCUGUCACAAGUCUGUGCAGCAUGGUUAAGAGGGCUUUACUGUCCCGACAGCAGCGUCAACUCAACCGAAGAACUGGUCUCCAAAAACAGUUCAUCCAAGCCUGAUGAGUCUUUGCCCACCGUAAACAACCUCUGUAACACCAACAAGACAAGCAUGGGGGAUGAUCCACUUCCUGAACUCUGUGACACUGGGAACUUAACACACAACACCAGUGAAACCCCCCGAGAGGUCAAAGGGCUUUUAAUUGAGAGCCUGCAGGAUUCUGGUCCAGAAGAAAAAGCAGAGAAGCUGAGCCCGGCUCCCCACACACAUUCGGAAGGUAAAUGUGCGCAUGAGCUCUCAGUUUACCUGAGAGGAGAAGAGUGUGGUGACGCAGAGGUCCUGACCCAGAGCACAGGUGUAUCUGCUGUCCCGCUGCCCUCUGCCCCGCCACCAAGGACCACAGGAGCCCAUCCUGAAGGAGACCCUGAGCACAGUCUCGGAGAAGUGCAGCGAAGGUAAGGCUGGAAAGAAGUUCCAGAUCACCCUCCAGUUAAAGAGAAAAUCAGCAGCCUUAGAAAAGGACAUCAUCGUAACCACUGAGACCGCUCCUCCAGGGAGGAACAUGUCCACAAAGGGAGGAGUCGGAGUCAGAGUCGGAGUAGGAAUCGGUGUAGAAGUUGGAGCAGGAGUCUGAGCAGGACUGAAGACCAUUGUCACGAAAAGUGGCGCUCCUUCACCAGAAGGCACAGCAAGCACAAGGGCCACGCCAUGGAGCACUACAAGAGGAGCCAUCACCUUGUAUGCUAUGGUGAGAGAGUCAGCCCCAGCAAGCACCUCAGUAUGAGCAGGUACAGCUACCACCACUCACCAACCAGGAGCAGGGCUGUCCAGGACCGGAGCCUAUACCACCACUCACACAGUGAGCGCGCCUGGCUCCGGGAGAAGCACUACCCUGAGAAGAUGCCGCAGGACAGGAGCAGGUACUACCCCGACAGGUACACCCCCUACGCAGUCAGGGAGCCCAGUAUGACGCGGCCACACAAGGACUCCUCCCGGGCCAGGAAGGGCUGGGAGCAGAUCCCAGUGAGGGAGCAGACCCACCUCCACAGCCCACACACAGGAGCUGCAGCUCCUUUCCCUCUGCACCAAAAGCACUAUCCCCAGGAGAAGGUGGCCUUCGGAGCUGACCACAAUGGUGGCCUCUCGGAUCGGCUUCAUGAACACGAAAGCGUAAAGUCAUGCAAACGCAGGUACGAGAGCACAGAAAGUAGGGACAGUCACCUGGAGAAGAAAGCCCACAGGAGCCUGCCGAGAGACCUGGACGAGCCUAAGGUGAAGAGCCGCAAAAAAUCAAAGAAGAAAAAGAAAUCGAAAGACAAACACCAAGAGCUUGGCUACAGGUAUCGGCUGGAUCCAUGUGUUCUGGUAGUGUAUUCUGACGCUGACCUCUGCAGACACAAAAAGAAGAAGAAGAAAAAGAGGAGGCGCUCAGGGAAAUCAGAAGAUUCUGUAAAAGAACCAAGAUUGUACUUACUGAAGGUCUUAAGAUAUGAGACUGUCAACCAUUUCUGGAGACCUGAGGGGAGCUUUCUGUUCGCCAAUGGCCUGGCUGUGGAGGUCAACAGCCUUUUCCAAAAGAAAACCAAGCAUUUAAGGAUGGAGAGCAGGGCCGACAGAUGCCACCCGGUGGAGUAUGGCCAGGGUAAGAGGAGAUUCUUCGAACUGAGAAGAGAAAAACUCUUGAUAAGUUUUUCUGGAAAUGGCAACUCACACAUGGAGAUGGAACCUUAAGUGCCUUGAAAGGGCACUGGAGUAACGCAGGGCUCCGGCCUCACCCCUGUUGACUCCCAAACUGUGUGAAUCGUUUUCCCUGUGUGGUUUGGGUACUUGAUGCUGCUCCAUUAGCACUGAAGGAUGGUGACGUGGACCUAGAAUUUAUGGCGUUCCGGUUGUCUGAGUAUUUGCUCACAAGAGAAAACUUCUGUGUUUUCCAAGCAUUUUUGGUAGCAAUGCUUUUGCAUUAUUUGCUUUACUCUGCUGAUUCCUUAAAGCACUCACAGUGUAUCCUAACUCAUAAUGUGACCACAUGGGACAUUGGAAAUAUUAGCGGCCACCUCUACCAGUGAUGCCUUUGAGGCUCCUGGCAUUACUGACUCACUUCAGGCUACUGGGCGCCUUGGAUUCUUGAGUGUAGACUGUGUCUUUUCAUAAUUUAGCAGCUGUUUGUGCUCUGAUUGCUCUUGGACAGCCCCUCCCCCUUUCUAACUGGUUCCCUGCCGAGGAUCCUUCAGAAGCUUGUUAAGAAUGAAAGCGAUAGGAUUCGGGGCCUGGGGCACAGGUUGGCAAGCUGCUUCUCGAAGGCCAAAGCUGGCCCUGCACCUGUCUCACAUCACCUGUGAGGUAAGAAUGGCUUUCAUGUUUUCAAAACUUCCAAAGAGGAACAGUAGUAUGUUUCACCUGAAGAACGUGUGAAAUUCAGGUAUCAGUGUCUGUAGACUUUAGCUGAAGCACAGCCCGUGUUCUGCGUGCUGCUGGCACUCUUGACAGAGGUGAGAAGUUGCAGCUGAGAGGGACACCCAUCAUACUCUAAGUGUUUGUCACGUGGCCUUUCACAGAAAAGGAAGUUUGCCAGGCCCUGCCCUAGACACUGCGGAGAAAUGUGUUACCUUGGGGAGGCCCAGGCAGGGGAGGCCCGUGGCUCCUGUGGUCCCUGGUUGGGUGCAGUUGUCAUGGGUGUGAAGAGAAGCUGGCCUGAGAAACGCUGAGACCACCACAGGGGUACAGGCUGACACCUGCUGCCAGGACUGGAGGGAAUGUGGCAUUUGCUCUAGGUUCACAUUAACAUUUCAGCGAUUUGCGGAAGGGAAUUGGUCCUUCUCAGCUCCAUGUGGUACCUGAGGAUCAGAUAUUGAGACGAUUAGGUCUGCGUGUCGGGCAGAGUCGCUGCAUUGUCAGAGUCCCUCAUCCUGGCUGGGCUGGUCAAGCCCCAGAGACCGCCGAUCUGGGGACAGCAAGUGGUCCGACUUGGUGCUGGCAUGGCAUUCAGGGCUGAGCCCACUUGUCCACUGCAGGUGCCGCAGGCAGGUCGUGUCUGAGCAGUGGCCGAGUCCGCCCCUAGUCCAGGGGCACUGAUGACUGAUUGGCAGCCAACUCGUCUGUGGGCUCCAGGCCUCCUGAGAGGGGCCCUGGCUGAGGGCGACACUCUGCCAUGUCCUAUAGCCUUGCCUCCAUGUCCUUUGAACACUCCCCUUUCUCUUGCAAACUCCUGAGCUCUGGCUCCAUCCAAAUCCGGUGCAUUUCUUUGGCCGUGGCCUGAAGCCUGUUCAUCCUGCUGUGAGAACUCAGCAGUGUGACGGGGCAGGCGUGGCCUGUUCCCCAGGGCCAGCCUCUCCAGGCAUCUUCCCUGAAAACAGUGGCCUUCCAGUGUCAUGGAAACCCAUUUUGCUUUCAGGAGGACACCUGCAGCAGUGCUUGUGCCAGCCUGUGCUCACUCAGCCUGACGGGCUGAGUGCAGGCAGCCAGUGUUAAACUACAGGAAAACUAAGUCUAACUGUAACCACUUAAUGCACACCCAGAGCACAGACACUACAAAUUGUACAAAGUCAUUCAAAUGUUUCCUAACCUUUGCCUUCCAGGUGAUUAAAACCUUGGCCUCAAACAAAAAAUGCACUAGAUAAGGCAAGUACUUUCCUGUCUCCCCAUUCUCUUUGUAGAAGCACUGAGGGGGGACAGAGAGGGCAUUUCACUUCUGAGGAAAACCCAAGGCCUGGGGUGGAGCUGUGGAAACAGCAGCAGGGGCGGGGCGCUGAGCUCCAAGCCAGCACUGGAGAGCGCGGGGACCUCUUUCCCCAUCAGCUUGCUAGGACUAGCGCAGCCUUGGCAAAGGGAGGGCGGUGGCUGUUUCCUACCUGCUCCCUCCCUGAGGAAGCCAGCAAGGCUCUCACAGUCAGAAUCUGCAGUCAUUGGAUAAGCAUCUGGGAUGAGACGUCCGUGUCCCCAACCCAGACAGCAGAGCCCAUCCCAAGAACUGAGCACCUAGGGCUAGAGGUCAUGGUGAGGCUGGGUCAUGCCCCUCACCUGACACGGCCACUCUGUUGGGAGGAGGUCCAGGUGACUUAGAGCAGAACCUUCUCGGUGUCAAGACUGUGCCUGAAUCACUCCUAUUCUGUGGUCCUGGGAGGAGGGGACUCCUGCUUCAUGCUGUGCACUUGGGAGGUAAAGCGGGUGGUGAACCAUUCAGCCGGUGAAAGGAGACUGUCCUUCCUUAUGUGUCUCCAGCCAAUCAGCAAGGGUGAUUUUCAGUGAACUUCAAGGUGAACUGUCGAUAGAAGAUCAGUGUGCAGUUAAUUAACAUGCUCUAUCUGUGCAUCCUCAGGGGAUGAACUAAGCCUAAAGAACUAAUUUCUUCCUGAGUAUAAGCAGUAUCUAAGCAUUGAGAAGAAUUAGCCACAGGUGGAGUUCAGGCUGGUGGGUGCAGCGGGGCCCAGCAGGUGGUGCUUCAUCUAUGAACAGCUCUUUCUUUGAGUCCAUUUGGGGCCACAUCAAACUACUUGUAAGUGUUUCAGGACCCCAGAGAUGGGGAGGCUUGUGUGGGUCCAGGGUCGGUCCAAACAAACUUCAGAUGAUAACGGGCCCAGCAAGACAGCUGCGGAGGCUGUGGAGCUGCCAUCUCCCCUCAAGGAUCCUCCUUGGAACUGCCUGCCCCCCUUUGUCUCUGGAGGAAACUUUGUCUUUGGCCAGAGUUCGGACUGACAACUCAAGACUGAGUGCAGACCCUCAGGUGGAGAGGUGAUCGGCGUGACUGAGCCUCUCCACCCCUGUAGGGGGAGGGGUCCCACGUCUGCAGUGUUGGGUGGAGGCCAGGUACACAGCAUGAUGGCAGGUGCCCUCAGGUUAAUACUUCACAAGAAAACCAGGGAUUAGGUGAUUUCAUGUAAUACUCUUGACAGGGCAAGUCACUUAAGAUU